CGGGGCGUAGCGCAGCCUGGUAGCGCGCCUGGUUCGGGACCAGGAGGCCGAAGGUUCGAAUCCUUUCGCCCCGACCA
This 77-nucleotide transfer RNA is filed under the name Terriglobia bacterium. RNAcentral describes it as "tRNA-Pro". It matches the Rfam family "tRNA". From Rfam's summary of the family: Transfer RNA (tRNA) molecules are approximately 80 nucleotides in length. Their secondary structure includes four short double-helical elements and three loops (D, anti-codon, and T loops). Lineage: Bacteria; Pseudomonadati; Acidobacteriota; Terriglobia. The record is from RNAcentral.